Molecule: ribosomal RNA, 447 nt
Filed under: uncultured bacterium
Lineage: Bacteria
Description: bacterial SSU rRNA
Rfam family: Bacterial small subunit ribosomal RNA
Source: RNAcentral
CGCUAUCACUCCUACGGGAGGCAGCAGUGGGGAAUCUUGGACAAUGGGCGCAAGCCUGAUCCAGCCAUGCCGCGUGAGUGAUGAAGGCCUUAGGGUCGUAAAGCUCUUUCGCCAGGGAUGAUAAUGACAGUACCUGGUAAAGAAACCCCGGCUAACUCCGUGCCAGCAGCCGCGGUAAUACGGAGGGGUUAGCGUUGUUCGGAAUUACUGGGCGUAAAGCGCGCGUAGGCGGAUUAGUCAGUCAGAGGUGAAAUCCCAGGGCUCAACCCUGGAACUGCCUUUGAUACUGCUAGUCUUGAGUUCGAGAGAGGUGAGUGGAAUUCCGAGUGUAGAGGUGAAAUUCGUAGAUAUUCGGAGGAACACCAGUGGCGAAGGCGGCUCACUGGCUCGAUACUGACGCUGAGGUGCGAAAGUGUGGGGAGCAAACAGGAUUAGAUACCCUGGUAG